GGACCCAUCUACCCUGACCACAUCAUGAUGUUCAUCUGCAGCUGUUGCAAGGUGUUCAGAUUGUAUAAACAUAAAUGUCACAAAAACUUUAAAAGAAGUGCAAUUCUCAAAAGGUUAGGUGGACUAAAGCAUUCUGUAAAGCAACUGCUAAUAAUGAGCUUACAGUGGAUUUGAAUUUGAAAAAUAUAGUAACAAGCCUGUCAAAUAUCUGCAAGAACUAUGGAAUAAAACUACUGAUGCAGUGAAGACAGUUGAAAAGAUCAAACAAAUGCCAAGCUAUAUUUAUAAUGAACAAAUUCAAGAAAAAGGACUACGGAAAGUUCAGGACAUCAAAGAAGUCAGGCAAAACUCAUCUUGACCCCUGUUGCAGGCAAAGGAACGCAGCUGGAAGAAAAGAUGAUAUAACAGUUAACAGGAUGCAGACAUGGCAGAGGUUUCC
This 439-nucleotide long non-coding RNA is filed under the name Homo sapiens (human). RNAcentral describes it as "processed pseudogene". The record is from RNAcentral. Lineage: Eukaryota; Metazoa; Chordata; Mammalia; Primates; Hominidae.